This 889-nucleotide long non-coding RNA is filed under the name Marmota monax (woodchuck). Lineage: Eukaryota; Metazoa; Chordata; Mammalia; Rodentia; Sciuridae. The record is from RNAcentral.
CGGUCGCCAGCCCCUCUCCACGUCCGCCCGUCCCCUCCCUCCCUCGCUCGCCGCCGAGUCCCGCGGAGGGGGGAUGCUCCGGGUCCCACCUCCCCGGGGAGCUGCGCAUUUCCGCGCACCAGGGCGGCCCUGGCUCCGGCCGGCCCUCGCGGCGACAGCCCGCGUUCCGCGUCCCCGGGAAGUUGUCUCCGGAGCCCGGGGCCCCUGGGUCUCCUCCCCCUGAGCCCCGCCCCCUCGCCCGGAGCUGGGAUCUGCAAGCUGCCCGGCCCGGGGGCGUCGCCGCUCUCUCGGCGAAGCCAGCGAGUGUCUGCUUCUCUGCGCGGAUCGCGCGUCCCCUACCUGACCGGGGACCCCCGCGGACCCCCGACACGGCGCGCGCUCAGAGCGCGGGAGCCCGGGACUCCGGGCGCCUGGGAUCCCGCGGAGCCGCUGCCCAGCCCGCGGGGCUCGGCAGGGAUGCAGUCUGCGCUGUGAGCCCGGGCGCCAAGGCCAUGUCCGGCACCCGCUGCCGGACCCUUUACCCCUUCUCCGGGGAGCGGCAUGGCCAGGGGCUCCGCUUCGCCGCGGGUGAGCUUAUCACGCUGCUGCAAGUCCCGGACGGAGGCUGGUGGGAAGGCGAGAAGGAGGACGGGCUCCGCGGCUGGUUCCCGGCAAGCUACGUGCAGUUGCUGGAGGUAAGGGGCGAGGGCCAGGGUGGAAAGACUCCCCCGGCUGCGGUCCCUCGGGUGCCGGCAUACCUGUUGACCACGGCGGGGAUCUGCUGCUGUCCCUGUAGAGGGACGCCCCUGGGGGCAGAUCUGCUCUACCGACCGACAUGCAACUCCGCGUUCCUGGGGACGGAGAAGGCAGCGCGCACCCCUGCAGGCGUGGGCAUCGCGAGCUCCACAGG